This 251-nucleotide ribosomal RNA is filed under the name uncultured bacterium. Its description in RNAcentral is "partial 16S ribosomal RNA". It matches the Rfam family "Bacterial small subunit ribosomal RNA", at positions 524 to 776 of the family's 1533-position model. The record is from RNAcentral.
UACGUAGGGUGCGAGCGUUGUCCGGAAUUAUUGGGCGUAAAGGGCUCGUAGGCGGUCUGUCACGUCGAAAGUGAAACUCAGGGCUCAACCCUGAGCCUGCUUCCGAUACGGGCAGACUAGAGGUAUGCAGGGAGAAUGGAAUCCUGGUGUAGCGGUGAAAUGCGCCAGAUAUCAGGAGGAACACCAGUGGCGAAGGCGGUUCUCUGGGCAUUACCUGACGCUGAGGAGCGAAAGUGUGGGGAGCGAACAGG